Long non-coding RNA from Triticum aestivum (bread wheat), 1411 nucleotides. RefSeq lists it as uncharacterized. The transcript is spliced from 2 exons. The record is from RefSeq and is a predicted model, not a curated record. Lineage: Eukaryota; Viridiplantae; Streptophyta; Magnoliopsida; Poales; Poaceae.
UCCCCAAUCCACUUCUACCAAACAAAGCCUCACCGGUUCACCAUCCCUCCUCCCUCGCGAGAGAUGUUUUCGGCGGCGGCGCUGCCGCUGGACGACGAUAACCUGCUCUCCGAGAUCCUCUUCCGCCACUCCCCUCCUCCCUCCCUCGUGCCUCCGCAGUCUGCAAGUGUUGGCGCUGCCUCGCCUCCGAUCCAGCCUUCUCCUGCCGCUUCCGCCUCCACCACCGCCGCAACCUCCCCUCCUUGGCUGCUUCCACGAAAAUUAUCGCGACAUCUGCUUUGAACCUACUCUGGAGGCCCCCAACCAUGUUCCGCCCGGGCACCUCUGCUUGCAGUUUAACUCCCACUUCCGAUUACUCGGGUGCCGCCAUGGCCUCGUAUUAAUCUUGCACCCGCCCCAGCUCCUGGUGUGGGACCCCCUCACCGGCCACUAGCCUCGCCUACCCAUUCCCACGGAGUUCGAUCCAACCAAGACCUUGAUUAACGGGGCGGUGCUCUGCUCUGCUGCGGGAGACAUCCACUUCAAGGUUGUCUUGACAGGGGCCGACGACUACGAGGUGCUCGCCUGCGUUUACUCGUCCGAGACUGGGGUGUGGGGCGAUCUCAUCUCCACAUCAAUUGCAUCACGGAACUUCAUGGUUGUUGACCAUCGUCGCACGGUUGCUACGCAGCCUGCUGUACUGGUUGGAGAUUCCCAUUACUGGAUGCUUAAAGGUGGUUUGGAAUGUAUCCUUGGCUUUGAUUUGCAGAGUGAGAGCCUAACCUUUAUACGGAUGCCAGUGGAUAGGAUUCAUUCCCCCUACUUCAUACAGAUGCGGGCAGAUGAUGGUGAGCUUGGUUUACUCGCCGUGACAGGCACCACCGCCCAAUUAUGGAAGAGGAAGGCCAAUUGUGAUGGUGCUGCACCAUGGGGGUUGGGAGGAACUAUUGAACUGAACAAGCUACUUUCUCUGGACUCAGAACAGUUCACAUGGAUACAAGGGGACAAGAUUUGGCGUUCCUGUGUAUCGGUGUCAGUAACUUCACGGUCCAGCUCGAGUCUUUGCAGUUCAAGGAGCUUUCCAACCCCAUAGUGGAUCGCUAUUAUCCAUUUGAAAGUGUCUAUGCUGCAGGUAUCUAGAGUUGUAUUCUGGUUGCUGAGAUGCAGGAGUGGGCUUGUUGCUGAAGGUUCUUCCAUUUUGGUAACUUCACAUGGAGAUUGACCAUCUACAUAGCGUGUACUUAUCUACUUGGAAGUCAACUUGUAGGAGUUAAUUUGCCAACUUCUCUCUAUUAACUUAUCUCUGGACACAAUUAGCUAACUGGGAUGAUGAAGAUAUAUUACUACCUUUUUGGUUAAGCAGUACUUACCUUGUGGCUCGUUUACCAUAUGGUUUCCAAGCAAGCACGUUAAAGCAAGCUUGCCUUCCUGA